CCCCCUCCCCCCGGACAUGGGCGUCGCAGACCCCAAGCCGCCGCCGCGCCCCAAGACGCGGGGCAACUACAACUGCGGCCGCUGCGGCCAGCCCAAGAAGGGCCACGUCUGCGUCGCCCCCGUCCCCGUCGCCGCCCCCUCCGGAGGUGGAGCCCCGUCCCCGUCCCCCUCCACCUCGUCCGGGGCCGCCAGCGCCAGCGGCGGCGGCGGCGGAGGGGAGCAGAGGCUCCGCCGCGCCCUCUCCUUCGACGAGGCGGGGACCCCGUCCUCGCCGGAGAAGAAGCCCAAGGUGGAGGGGGACGUGGAGAUGGACGUGGCGGGCGGCGAGGGGGAGAUGGAGGAGGGCGGCGACGAGGACGACGACGCGGCGGUGGAGGUGGGCGGCCGCCCCGUGCCCGGGGAGGUCAUGGCGGAGGUGCUGCGCCGGCUCGGGCCCCGCGGGGUCAUGGCCGCCGCGGGGGUCAACCGCGGCUGGCGGGACUGCGCGGGCCGGGUCUGGCGGGCCGCCGACGAGCUCCGCCUCCGCGUCCUCGCCAGCACGGGCGCCGGCCUCCUCGGCGCGCUGCUCCCGCGGUGCCCCGCGCUCUCGCGCCUCGACCUCCGGAUGGAAAGGGAUGUUGAUGCCACUACGCUGGCAUGUCUUGCAUUUUCCUGCCCAAGUUUAAAAACUCUCGAGAUUACGAUGGCUGCCAAUGCAAUCAACAGGAUGACUGGAGAGGAUCUAAGUCGUUUUGUUUCGGAGAAGUCUUCUCUGUCAGUCCUCAAAAUUGGUGGUUGCUCUAAUUUGGAUUUUAUUAAUCUAUGCUCUUCAAGUCUUUCAGUUCUUUGGCUGUCAGAGCUUUGUUCCCUUUCAAAAUCGGUCAUGAACUGUCCUAAUAUGAGUGAGCUCUCACUGUGCUUUGCACAACAAAGUAAUGAUUGUACCGAUAUGGUUAGUUUGAUGGAUGCCAUGGGUCGUACAUGCCCUAACUUAAACAAAAUGCACAUAUCAUCAAAUCAAUUAUCCAAUGAAGCUGUAUUUGCUCUAGAGAGUGCUAAUCUCAGGGGACUGUGUAUGCUAUCCUUGAUCCUAGGUUCAAAAAUAACUGAUGCAGCUGUUGCAUCUAUUGUUCGAUUGUGCACAAGCUUGGAGUUGCUUGAUUUAAGUGGAUCGAGCAUCAGUGAUAAUGGUGUUGGAAUGAUCUGCAAGGCGUUCCCUCAUACUUUAUCAAGGCUGCUUCUUGCUCUUUGCCCGAAUGUGACUACACGUGGGAUUCAGUUAGCUACAGCACAGUUGCCACAUCUUCAACUCAUGGACUGUGGGAUGAGCCUAUGCGCUAAUUUGAACAAUGAAAAGGGACCAAUGUUUGGUGACAUCAAUGGAGGCAUUAGAAUCAUUCGAAAAUUAUGUGCCUCAAAAAAUCAACCUAUUCACCAAAAGCUUAUUAUAAAGCAUGGUAAUUUGAAGAAACUCAGUCUGUGGGGUUGUUCAGCGAUUGAUGCUCUGUAUGUAAAUUGUCCAGAAUUGAAUGAUCUCAAUCUCAACUCUUGCACAAAUCUACAUCCAGAACGUCUGGUUCUUCAGUGCCCAAAUUUGAAGAAUGUCCAUGCAGUUGGAUGCCAAGACAUGUUGAUUGGAGCAAUCAGAAAUCAAGUAAAUCAGACACUGAUAACCUGCAAGCCACAAAACCUAAACAAGCAAAUUAUAUGAACUGGAGUCUAGCAUGGAGUGAGCAGCACUGGAGCUGAAGGUGUACCAGGCUUUGCUAUAGGCAUUCCAUAACUUAGAAACCAUUAUUUUGGCUUUGGUUUCUGUACAAUGUAACUGUGGUGUCCCAUGUAGUCUGUACUGAUGUUGUAACUUAAUUCUUUCAACACACUGGAAGCAGCCAUUCUGCUCCCCAUAGAAAAACACAUUGAUAGACCUCAUUGGUUCAGUUCCAGGAAACUUCACAUGGCAUCAAGCUCAACACCCUACAUCCUGGAUAGGCAGGUUAUGUAGCACCACUUGUACACCCUAACCAUAUCUACACUUUUGAGUUAUUUCUCCUGUUUUGUUUGUGCUAGAUGCCUUGAUCUACUGCGAGCGGUGCUAUCUACCUUUUGUGACAUCUUGUUAUCACCCAGGCAUUGCUAUCUUUCAGACCCAUGUUUGUGCGUGGCCAUGAGUCACCUCAGGGCCAGCUGCACUUGUGAUCAGGUGGCUCUGCCAUCCAUGGAUGUGGACAUUACUGCUGGUUCUGAAUGAGUUCACCGCAGCUGAAUCAUCUCUUCCAUGCAAGCUGCUAGCAGACGGCUCAAAACGGGUUCAACUUCCCCAGUUCCAACAACAUCAGCCGCCGGAGGAUGACAAAUUGUUUGAGUCGAGCCGGACCCAGUGCACCGUGCAUCUUCACAUCACCAGAGCCAGUUAACUGAACAAUUGUACACACCCAAUUAUGUGGAUCAUGAACCGCAUGACAUUAUUAAUUCUUUGUGUAAUUGUUGCAUUGCCUCAGAACCUAUAGUGCUUGUUGUAUAAGUUGCUAUUUGCUGCCACGGACUUCUAUGAAUUCCAUCCUUUUGUGUUUAUAUUGUAGAGCAAUAAUUUGUAACGAUGAGCUUGUAUUCUCUUGGGAAUAAUAAUGAUCCUGGUCCCUAGAUC
RNA transcript from Setaria italica (foxtail millet), 2623 nucleotides. It is a transcript of the gene named F-box/LRR-repeat protein 17, with no coding region annotated. The transcript is spliced from 12 exons. The record is from RefSeq and is a predicted model, not a curated record. NCBI's taxonomy places the organism in Eukaryota, Viridiplantae, Streptophyta, Magnoliopsida, Poales, Poaceae.